GUGGGGAAUAUUGGGCAAUGGAGGCAACUCUGACCCAGCCAUGCCGCGUGCAGGAAGACGGUCCUCUGGAUUGUAAACUGCUUUUGAAUGGGAAGAAACGUAGCUUUGCGAAGCUAUUUGACGGUACUAUUAGAAUAAGCACCGGCUAACUCCGUGCCAGCAGCCGCGGUAAUACGGAGGGUGCAAGCGUUAUCCGGAUUUAUUGGGUUUAAAGGGUGCGUAGGCGGCUUUAUAAGUCUGGGGUUAAAGGCGGCAGCUUAACUGUACGCAUGCCCUGGAAACUGUGAAGCUUGAGUGACUUGGAGGUAGCUAGAAUUCCCUGUGUAGCGGUGAAAUGCAUAGAUACGGGGAGGAAUACCGAUUGCGAAGGCAUGUUACUACGAGUAAACUGACGCUGAUGCACGAAAGCGUGGGGAUCAAACAGGUUUAGAAACCCCGGUAGUCC
RNAcentral lists this ribosomal RNA (445 nucleotides) under uncultured bacterium. RNAcentral's name for it is "partial 16S ribosomal RNA". It matches the Rfam family "Bacterial small subunit ribosomal RNA", at positions 354 to 796 of the family's 1533-position model. The record is from RNAcentral.